UACGAAGGGGGCUAGCGUUGUUCGGAAUUACGUGGCGUAAAGGGCGCGUAGGCCGGUUUGUACAGUCAGAACGUGGAAAUUCCUGGGCCUCAACCUGGGGCUGCGUUUGAUACGUGCAGACUUGAGUUCGGAAGAGGGUCGUGGAAUUCCCAGUGGUAGAGGUGAAAUUCGUAGAUAUUGGGAAGAACACCGGUGGCGAAGGCGGCGACCUGGGUCCGAUACUGACGCUGAGGCGCGAAAGCGUGGGGAGCAAACAGG
RNAcentral lists this ribosomal RNA (258 nucleotides) under uncultured bacterium. RNAcentral describes it as "partial 16S ribosomal RNA". It matches the Rfam family "Bacterial small subunit ribosomal RNA", at positions 524 to 776 of the family's 1533-position model. The record is from RNAcentral.